AACGAACGCUGGCGGCAGGCCUAACACAUGCAAGUCGAGCGAGACCUUCGGGUCUAGCGGCGGACGGGUGAGUAACGCGUGGGAACGUGCCCUUUUCUACGGAAUAGCCUCGGGAAACUGAGCGUAAUACCGUAUACGCCCUUUGGGGGAAAGAUUUAUCGGAGAAGGAUCGGCCCGCGUUGGAUUAGGUAGUCGGUGGGGUAAUGGCCUACCAAGCCUACGAUCCAUAGCUGGUUUGAGAGGAUGAUCAGCCACACUGGGACUGAGACACGGCCCAGACUCCUACGGGAGGCAGCAGUGGGGAAUCUUAGACAAUGGGGGCAACCCUGAUCUAGCCAUGCCGCGUGAGUGAUGAAGGCCUUAGGGUUGUAAAGCUCUUUCAGCUGGGAAGAUAAUGACGGUACCAGCAGAAGAAGCCCCGGCUAACUCCGUG
This 433-nucleotide ribosomal RNA is filed under the name uncultured bacterium. Its description in RNAcentral is "partial 16S ribosomal RNA". It matches the Rfam family "Bacterial small subunit ribosomal RNA", at positions 29 to 507 of the family's 1533-position model. The record is from RNAcentral.